Glycine soja is the source of this 694-nucleotide long non-coding RNA. RefSeq lists it as uncharacterized. The record is from RefSeq and is a predicted model, not a curated record. The transcript has 2 exons. NCBI's taxonomy places the organism in Eukaryota, Viridiplantae, Streptophyta, Magnoliopsida, Fabales, Fabaceae.
AUUAAUUAAAUGUCAAUAUCAAAAUGACAGACGUGUAAUGAGAGGAAUUAAUCUUUCUUUCUCAUUUAUUCAUGGUUGUUUGCUCAAGAUUAGUUAUUCACUUAUUCUUACAAAACGUUCUCUCUCUAAUUAAGUGUGUCUUGUGAUCUUAUAAUUACUAUACUUUGCUGCCAAAAGUGGUGUUUGCUCAAGAGCCAAGAGACAGUGAAACACUGCCAAAUACUGUCUGAUCUGUAGAGCACAAGCAAUUUCAUGACAAAGAGGCUCAGCAGAAUAUUCUUGACGUGACAGAGAACACACAUGCACUGGGAUGAGAUCAUGAGAAGAGAUUGUUAAUUAAUUAAGAAAUGUAACACUGAGAAAAAGGCCAAGAAUGAGAGUUUUCACCUGCAUUGAGACAAAGGGUCCGGGUAAGGGUAAUCCCUAGUUUGGUUCCAUUUUAAUUACAAUGUUACAAUCAAUCCCCUUGUAUUAUUUAUCUUGGCUAGGUGAAAUGUUCUAAUUUUUCAUUUUCUGAAGGUGAAAUUAAUUACGAUUACCACUCUAUUAAAUUGUAUAAUUGAUUUCCCGGCACAAGUAUAAUGAAAGUUAUCUAAAGUACUGAAGUUUUUCUGUUCCUUCAAAUGAAUUGUUGAAUUUGGCCAAGCAGUUGUUGAAUUUUUGUAAUGAAAUAAAUUGGGAUAGUGUUGAUUUA